UACAGAGGUCUCAAGCGUUGUUCGGAUUCAUUGGGCGUAAAGGGUGCGUAGGUGGCGCGCUAAGUCAGGUGUGAAAUCUCGGAGCUUAACUCCGAAACUGCAUUUGAUACUGGCGUGCUUGAGGACUGGAGAGGAGACUGGAAUUCACGGUGUAGCAGUGAAAUGCGUAGAGAUCGUGAGGAAGACCAGUGGCGAAGGCGGGUCUCUGGACAGUUCCUGACACUGAGGCACGAAGGCCAGGGGAGCAAACGGG
RNAcentral lists this ribosomal RNA (253 nucleotides) under uncultured bacterium. RNAcentral's name for it is "partial 16S ribosomal RNA". It matches the Rfam family "Bacterial small subunit ribosomal RNA", at positions 524 to 776 of the family's 1533-position model. The record is from RNAcentral.